UGAAGGCCCUCGGGUUGUAAACCGCUGUCGUAGGGGAGGAAGGUUCCGUGAAGAGCGGAAUUUGACCUAUCCUAGGAGGAAGUACGGGCUAAGUUCGUGCCAGCAGCCGCGGUAACACGAACCGUACGAACGUUAUUCGGAAUUACUGGGCUUAAAGGGUUUGUAGGCGGCCUUGUAAGUCAGGUGUGAAAAGCCCCUCGGCUCAACCGAGGAACAGCGCUUGAUACUGCAAGGCUUGAGGGAGACAGGGGUAAGCGGAACUGAUGGUGGAGCGGUGAAAUGCGUUGAUAUCAUCAGGAACACCGGUGGCGAAAGCGGCUUACUGGGUCUCUUCUGACGCUGAGGAACGAAAGCUAGGGGUAGCGAACGGGAUUAGAUACCCCGGUAGUCCUAGCUGUAAACGAUGAGCACUUAUCUGGGGAUCCUCCCAUAGGUUCCCGGAUGUAGCGAAAGUGUUAAGUGCUCCGCCUGGGGAGUAUGGUCGCAAGGCUGAAACUCAAAGAAAUUGACGGGGGCUCACACAAGC
This 526-nucleotide ribosomal RNA is filed under the name uncultured bacterium. Its description in RNAcentral is "bacterial SSU rRNA". It matches the Rfam family "Bacterial small subunit ribosomal RNA", at positions 409 to 930 of the family's 1533-position model. The record is from RNAcentral.